AAAAGUGUGUUAAAUGGACCAUUUAGAAUAAAUAAUUAAAAUAAAAUAUUAAUAUUAAAAAAUUACGAAAAUAAAAAUUAUAUAAAAUUAAAUAAAACGUUAAGAAAAGUGAAAAAUAUUUUUGGGUAAUUUUAUGGACGAACAAAAUAUUUUAAAUAAGAAAAAGAAAUACGAAAAUGGAAGGAUUAAUGGUGAUGAACUU
RNAcentral lists this long non-coding RNA (202 nucleotides) under Lathyrus oleraceus (garden pea). RNAcentral describes it as "Pisum sativum (pea) long non-coding RNA (PSAT_LNC035235)". Lineage: Eukaryota; Viridiplantae; Streptophyta; Magnoliopsida; Fabales; Fabaceae. The record is from RNAcentral.